AAGAUAAAUUAUCGUGUUGAUUC
This 23-nucleotide small nuclear RNA is filed under the name Arabidopsis thaliana (thale cress). RNAcentral describes it as "snRNA_07726". The record is from RNAcentral. Lineage: Eukaryota; Viridiplantae; Streptophyta; Magnoliopsida; Brassicales; Brassicaceae.